CCUACGGGCGGCAGCAGUGGGGAAUAUUGGGCAAUGGGCGCAAGCCUGACCCAGCAACGCCGCGUGAAGGAAGAAGGCUCUCGGGUUGUAAACUUCUUUUAUUAGGGACGAAGCAAGUGACGGUACCUGAUGAAUAAGCCUAGGCUAACAACGUGCCAGCAGCAGCGGUAAUACGUAGGUGGCAAGCGUUAUCCGGAUUUACUUGGUGUAAAGGGUGUGUAGGUGGGUAGGCAAGUCAGAUGUGAAAACCAUGGGCUCAACCUGUGGCCUGCAUUUGAAACUGUUUUUCUUGAGUACUGGAGAGGCAGACGGAAUUCCUGGUGUAGCGGUGAAAUGCUUAGAUAUUAGGAAGAACACCGAUGGCGAAGGCGGUCUGCUGGACAGCAACUGACGCUGAGGCGCGAAAGCGUGGGGAGCAAACAGGAUUAGAUACCCCUGUAGUC
RNAcentral lists this ribosomal RNA (443 nucleotides) under uncultured bacterium. RNAcentral describes it as "partial 16S ribosomal RNA". It matches the Rfam family "Bacterial small subunit ribosomal RNA", at positions 338 to 795 of the family's 1533-position model. The record is from RNAcentral.